GCAAGUCGAGCGGAAACGAAGAGGUGCUUGCACCUCUGGCGUCGAGUGGCAGACGGGUGAGUAAUGCUUGGGAAUAUGCCUUAUGGUGGGGGACAACAGUUGGAAACGACUGCUAAUACCGCAUGAUGUCUACGGACCAAAGUGGGGGACCUUCGGGCCUCACGCCAUAAGAUUAGCCCAAGUGGGAUUAGCUAGUUGGUGAGGUAAUGGCUCACCAAGGCGACGAUCCCUAGCUGGUUUGAGAGGAUGAUCAGCCACACUGGGACUGAGACACGGCCCAGACUCCUACGGGAGGCAGCAGUGGGGAAUAUUGCACAAUGGGCGCAAGCCUGAUGCAGCCAUGCCGCGUGUGUGAAGAAGGCCUUCGGGUCGUAAAGCACUUUCAGUAAGGAGGAAAGGUUAAGUGUUAAUAGCACUUAGCUGUGACGUUACUUACAGAAGAAGCACCGGCUAACUCCGUGCCAGCAGCCGCGGUAAUACGGAGGGUGCGAGCGUUAAUCGGAAUUACUGGGCGUAAAGCGUACGCAGGCGGU
This 533-nucleotide ribosomal RNA is filed under the name uncultured bacterium. RNAcentral's name for it is "bacterial SSU rRNA". It matches the Rfam family "Bacterial small subunit ribosomal RNA", at positions 57 to 579 of the family's 1533-position model. The record is from RNAcentral.